RNAcentral lists this ribosomal RNA (305 nucleotides) under uncultured bacterium. RNAcentral's name for it is "bacterial SSU rRNA". It matches the Rfam family "Bacterial small subunit ribosomal RNA", at positions 337 to 640 of the family's 1533-position model. The record is from RNAcentral.
ACCUACGGGGGGCAGCAGUGAGGAAUAUUGGUCAAUGGGAGAGAUCCUGAACCAGCCAAGCCGCGUGAGGGAAGACGGCCCUAUGGGUUGUAAACCUCUUUUGUCGGAGAACAAAACCCGGGACGUGUCCCGGACUGCGUGUAUCCGAAGAAAAAGCAUCGGCUAACUCCGUGCCAGCAGCCGCGGUAAUACGGAGGAUGCGAGCGUUAUCCGGAUUUAUUGGGUUUAAAGGGUGCGUAGGCGGUCCGUUAAGUCAGCGGUAAAAUUGCGGGGCUCAACCCCAUCGAGCCGUUGAAACUGGCAGG